RNAcentral lists this unclassified non-coding RNA (156 nucleotides) under soil metagenome. Its description in RNAcentral is "partial internal transcribed spacer 1". The record is from RNAcentral.
UCCAAAGUCAAGUCGGGCCUGAUAAGGCCUUGCGUCUACACCCAUUGUCUUUUGCGUACCGUAUGUUUCCUCGGCGGGCGUAAGCCUGCCGAUUGGACAAUUCUCAAAACCUUUUUGUAAUUGCAAUCAGCGUCUAGAAAACUAUAAUAAUUAUUA